GCCAGACUCCUACGGGAGGCAGCAGUGGGGGAUAUUGCACAAUGGGGGGAACCCUGAUGCAGCGACGCCGCGUGGGUGAAGGAGCGUUUCGGCGCGUAAAGCCCUAUCGGCAGGGAAGAAGGAGGACGGUACCUGACUAAGAAGCCCCGGCUAACUACGUGCCAGCAGCCGCGGUAAUACGUAGGGGGCAAGCGUUAUCCGGAUUUACUGGGUGUAAAGGGGGCGCAGACGGCAGCGCAAGCCAGGAGAGAAAGCCCGGGGCCCAACCCCGGGACUGCUCUUGGAACUGCGCGGCUGGAGUGCAGGAGGGGCAGGCGGAAUUCCUGGUGUAGCGGUGAAAUGCGUAGAUAUCAGGAGGAACACCGGUGGCGAAGGCGGCCUGCUGGACUGCGACUGACGUUGAGGCCCGAAAGCGUGGGGAGCAAACAGGAUUAGAUACCCCAGUAAUA
RNAcentral lists this ribosomal RNA (449 nucleotides) under uncultured bacterium. Its description in RNAcentral is "partial 16S ribosomal RNA". It matches the Rfam family "Bacterial small subunit ribosomal RNA", at positions 330 to 795 of the family's 1533-position model. The record is from RNAcentral.